UGGGGAGAACACUGACAUACGUACAGAUGGACAAGGGUAAAACUUAAUGCCCCCAUCCACUAUACCAUAAAAAAAUCAUUAUUCAUUUUUUUAUAUAUCUCGUAGCUAGUGCCCCUUUAAUGAGAUGAAACUAAGGCUCUAAAGAGCCUGUCGCUCACCUUGGUGUAUGUGAAUAUUUAACAAAAGACACAGAUGGAUUCAUGACAAAAUUGUGUUUUGGUGAUGGUGAUGUGUUUGUAGAUCUUACUUUACUGAACAUUCUUGCUGUAUACAAUUAUCUCUAUCUAUAAUGAACUUGGCCCAGUAGUAACAGUGAAAAAUGUUAGUAAAAAUUUACAAAUUUAUUGAAAAUUGUUAAAUAUUUACUAUAAAGGGCAAUAACUCCUUAGGGGGUUAAUUAAACAUUUUGGUCAUGUUGACUUAUUUUUAGAUUUUACUUUGCUAUACAUUAUUGCUGUGUACAGUUUAUCUCUAUCUAUAAUAAUAUUCAAG
This 492-nucleotide long non-coding RNA is filed under the name Mytilus galloprovincialis (Mediterranean mussel). The record is from RNAcentral. Lineage: Eukaryota; Metazoa; Mollusca; Bivalvia; Mytilida; Mytilidae.